UUCCUCUCGUCAGACUUUCAAACGGCACUGAAAUGGUGGACAUGAGUGUGAACUUUAGGCUUUCAGCAGGCUCAUACAAAGACUCCUGUGGAAAAUGGGAAAAUGCUCUAAAGCUGCCAUUGACCAUUCCAAGCACCAGUGAUGGAACCAAAAGGUGCUUCCACAUCAGAGAAGACUGCCGUACCCUGAGGUCCCACAAAGGACGUGCCAGUGGCAGAAGACAGCAGCUUGCCUGCUUCUGGUCAAUUCCUAAAGGCUGCCUGUGUAUCCCUGGGACUGGCAAAGACCUGAAGUGAAGUGUGUGUUCUGCAAGAUACAGUUUCCAUCCAGAUUGAUUUCUGGAAAAGCUGGCUUUACCUGAGCAAUAUUCAGAAAUCUGGGAAAUCUGGGAGAUUCAGAAAUCUGUGUGCUGCAUCCACGGUACAAGCUUGAGGAAAAUCUCCAUGGAGAAUUCCAAAGAGGAGAGCACUGGGAAGAAAGUCCUGGAACCUUCCACCCAAAGCGACAGGACUCCGUGAAAGAGCCGAUGGAGCUGCUCUGCAGCUGUGUCCGUGCCACAUUUGCUGGCAGAGCCCCAGCAAGGCAGAGCAGACCCCACCAGCUGGCUGGGACCGUGAUUUCUCCCCUAUGGUGUGACCUCACAUCCUAAAGACGUGCCUGACAAUGGGAUAGGUCGUUGUGCUGACACAGGCACCAGGAAAGGAGAUGCUUGAAGGACCCGCGAAAGAGGCAACAGCUGUAGAUAAACACACAGACAGGCUUGAUGUCAACAGGAACUGCUGAUGGCCAAGCACUUCUGAAAAUUUGGUAUGCUGCAGUAAGAUGGUGCCAGCCUCUCUGGAAAAUCAGGACUUCAUUGUGAGGGCAGAGCACUUCUGAAAAUGCAGCCUGCAGAACUGGUGCAGAUGGUCUGGCCCCCUCUCAGCAGGCACAGAUCACAAUAUCAAGGGCAGCAAGUGGGAUUGGGAUCGUGCCUUGUGGAGGACAAGAGGCAGACACGAGCUGGCAAAGCAGAGGCUGUCAGGUGCAGCAGCUGUCCCAACAGGCACGUUUGCCAUGUCAUGAUGCCAUGUCUCUCUCUGAUCCAAGUGCUGAACUCUAAUUGUAUUUGCAAUGUGUUGAUUACCAUGGUCAAUUUUGUAUUUUUAUUUGAGAGUUGUGUGUUUCUGUUGUUUGAAAUUGUGCCAGCUGCUGGCUGAGAAGGUGAACUAAAAACUCAGAAUCAA
Long non-coding RNA from Myiozetetes cayanensis, 1226 nucleotides. RefSeq lists it as uncharacterized. Lineage: Eukaryota; Metazoa; Chordata; Aves; Passeriformes; Tyrannidae. The record is from RefSeq and is a predicted model, not a curated record. The transcript has 4 exons.